GACGAACGCUGGCGGCGUGCUUAACACAUGCAAGUCGAACGGAAAGGCCCUGCUUUUGUGGGUUGCUCAAGGGGGAAACGGGUAAGUAACCGUUGGGAACCUUGCCCUGUACUUUGGGAAAACUCCGGGAAAUUGGGCCUAAUACCGAAUGGGGGCUCCUGCGGCUGGGGGGGGGUGGCAAGAUUUGGGCGGUUGGGGAUGGACUCGCGGCUUACCGGCUUGUGGGUGGGGUAGUGGCUUACCAAGGCUUUGGCGGGAAGCCGGCCUGAGAGGGUGACCGGCCACAUUGGGACUGAGAUACGGCCCAGACUCCUACGGGAGGCAGCAGUGGGGAAUAUUGCACAAUGGGCGGAAGCCUGAUGCAGCAACGCCGCGUGCGGGAUGACGGCCUUCGGGUUGUAAACCGCUUUCGCCUGUGACGAAGCGUGAGUGACGGUAAUGGGUAAAGAAGCACCGGCUAACUACGUG
Molecule: ribosomal RNA, 468 nt
Filed under: uncultured bacterium
Lineage: Bacteria
Description: partial 16S ribosomal RNA
Rfam family: Bacterial small subunit ribosomal RNA
Source: RNAcentral